GAUGAACGCUGGCGGCGUGCCUAAUACAUGCAAGUCGAGCGAACAGACGAGGAGCUUGCUCCUCUGACGUUAGCGGCGGACGGGUGAGUAACACGUGGAUAACCUACCUAUAAGACUGGGAUAACUUCGGGAAACCGGAGCUAAUACCGGAUAAUAUAUUGAACCGCAUGGUUCAAUAGUGAAAGACGGUUUUGCUGUCACUUAUAGAUGGAUCCGCGCCGCAUUAGCUAGUUGGUAGGGUAACAGCUUACCAAGGCAACGAUGCGUAGCCGACCUGAGAGGGUGAUAGGCCACACGGGAGCUGAGACGCGGUCCAUGCUCCUGCGGGAGGCAGCAGUAGGGAAUCGGCCGCAAUGGGCGAAAACCUGACGGAGCAACGCCGCGUGAGUGAUGAAGGUCUUCGGAGCGUAAAACUCUGUUAUGAGGGAAGAACAAAUGUGUAAGUAAAUAUGCACGUCGUGACGGUACCUAAUCAGAAAGCCACGGCUAACUACGUG
This 497-nucleotide ribosomal RNA is filed under the name uncultured bacterium. Its description in RNAcentral is "partial 16S ribosomal RNA". It matches the Rfam family "Bacterial small subunit ribosomal RNA", at positions 28 to 507 of the family's 1533-position model. The record is from RNAcentral.